AGCGAACGUUUGCGGCGGGCCUAACACAUGCAAGUCGAACGGGCUAGCAAUAGUCAGUGGCGCACGGGUGCGUAACACGUGGGUAAUCAACCCUUCAGCUCGGGAUAACGCCUUGAAAGGGGCGCUAAUACCGGAUACGACGCGAGGAGCUUCGGCUGCUUGCGGGAAAGAUUCGCAAGGAUCUCUGAAGGACGAGCCUGCGGCCCAUCAGCUAGUUGGUGAGGUAAGAGCUCACCAAGGCGAAGACGGGUAGCUGGUCUGAGAGGAUGAUCAGCCACACUGGAACUGAGACACGGUCCAGACUCCUACGGGAGGCAGCAGUGGGGAAUAUUGCGCAAUGGGCGAAAGCCUGACGCAGCCACGCCGCGUGAGCGAUGAAGGCCU
This 384-nucleotide ribosomal RNA is filed under the name uncultured bacterium. RNAcentral's name for it is "bacterial SSU rRNA". It matches the Rfam family "Bacterial small subunit ribosomal RNA", at positions 29 to 417 of the family's 1533-position model. The record is from RNAcentral.